Non-coding RNA from Macaca mulatta (Rhesus monkey), 141 nucleotides. The record is from Rfam. NCBI's taxonomy places the organism in Eukaryota, Metazoa, Chordata, Mammalia, Primates, Cercopithecidae.
UGGCGCCCGAACAGGGACCUGGAAACGAGGGACUCCGUGAGGAAGAGGACGCUAAAGGACGGUCGACCACUAACAAAGACAAAAGGAGUCAAACUCUUCCGAUCACCGCGGGAGCCUGCCGCGGGAAAUUAAUAAGCCUAA